GGGAGGACGAGGACGAGGACGAGGACAAGGAAGACUAGGAUGAGGAUGAGGAGGACAAGGAACAAUAUUCUGCCGGUCACUGUUUAGUCUCCACUGCCAGCUGCCAUGGGCAAGCAGAACAGCCAGCUGUGUCCUGAGGUGCUGCAGGACCUGCAGAAACACAGGGAGUUCACCGACCAUGAGCUUCAGGAGUGGUACAAGGGCUUCCUCAAUGACUGUCCCACUGGCCACCUGACCGUGGACAAUUUCAAGAUCUAGCCCAACUUCUUCCCCUACAGAGAUGCCUCCAAGUUCGCUGAACAUGUCUUCCACACCUUUGACACCAACGGCGACAGCACCAUCAACUUCCAAGUGUUCAUCAUUGCUGUGAGCAUGACCUCUUGGGACAAGCUGGAACAGAAGCUGAAGUGGGCCUUCAGCAUGUCUGACCUAGACAGCAAUGGCUACAUCAGCUGCAGUGAAAUGCUGGAGAUAGUGCAGGUACCUGCACUUGACAGGGCCUUAAGCAUGGGGAGUGCAGGGAUCCAGGACCCCCAUCCCCGGCCCCAUACACCAGGUCAUUCCUCUGCCCACUUGCUACCUGGUGUACUAAAGGACUGCAUGUCUUUGCAGAGAGUAACGAUAAAAGCCAAGCAUCUAUCGAUUGCUUGCUGGACAUCAGGUCCCAGCUGAGCUCAUCCAUCAGGUUUAUUCACACAAUUCUAUAAAACGGGUCUUUUUUUAAAAGAAAAGAAAAGAA
This 739-nucleotide long non-coding RNA is filed under the name Mus musculus (house mouse). Its description in RNAcentral is "predicted gene, 49698". Lineage: Eukaryota; Metazoa; Chordata; Mammalia; Rodentia; Muridae. The record is from RNAcentral.